GUUUAACGCUGGCGGCGUGCAUAACACAUGCAAGUCGAACGAUGAAACUUUAAUGAACCCUUCGGGGAGAAUUAAAGCGGUUUAUUGGCGAACGGGUGAGUAACGCGUGAGUAACCUGCCUUACACAAGGGGGUAGCCUUUGGAAACGAAGAAUAAUACCCUAUAAGACCAUACAAGCACAUGCAAUCAUGGUCAACGUGAUAGCGGUGUAAGAUGGACUUGCGGCUGAUUAGCUAGUUGGUGAGAUAAAAGCCCACCAAGGUAAGGAUCAGUCGCCGGCAUGGGAGAGUGGCCGGCAACAUUAGGAGUGAGACACGGCCCAGACUCCUACGGAAGGCAGCAGUGGGGAAUUUUGCACAACGGGGGAAAGCAGGAGGCAGCGACGCCGCGUGAUUUAGAAGGCCUGGGGGUUGUAAAAAGCGUUUGUAUAGGAAGAAAAUGACAGUACUAUACGAAUAAGGACCGGCUAAUUACGUG
Molecule: ribosomal RNA, 477 nt
Filed under: uncultured bacterium
Lineage: Bacteria
Description: partial 16S ribosomal RNA
Rfam family: Bacterial small subunit ribosomal RNA
Source: RNAcentral